Molecule: non-coding RNA, 76 nt
Organism: Uloborus diversus
Lineage: Eukaryota; Metazoa; Arthropoda; Arachnida; Araneae; Uloboridae
Source: the annotation of a RefSeq genome assembly
GCAGUCGUCGCCGAGUGGUUAAGGCGAUGGACUAGAAAUCCAUCUUCCCGCGUAGGUUCGAAUCCUACCGACUGCG